RNAcentral lists this ribosomal RNA (395 nucleotides) under uncultured bacterium. RNAcentral describes it as "partial 16S ribosomal RNA". It matches the Rfam family "Bacterial small subunit ribosomal RNA", at positions 523 to 918 of the family's 1533-position model. The record is from RNAcentral.
AUACGUAGGGUGCAAGCGUUAAUCGGAAUUACUGGGCGUAAAGCGUGCGCAGGCGGUUUUGUAAGACAGAGGUGAAAUCCCCGGGCUAAACCUGGGAACUGCCUUUGUGACUGCAAGGCUAGAGUACGGCAGAGGGGGAUGGAAUUCCGCGUGUAGCAGUGAAAUGAGUAGAUAUGCGGAGGAACACCGAUGGCGAAGGCAAUCCCCUGGGCCUGUACUGACGCUCAUGCACGAAAGCGUGGGGAGCAAACAGGAUGAGAUUCCCUGGUAGUCCACGCCCUAAACGAUGUCAACUGGUUGUUGGGUCUUCAUUGACUCAGUAACGAAGCUAACGCGUGAAGUUGACCGCCUGGGGAGUACGGCCGCAAGGUUGAAACUCAAAUGAAUUGGCGGGG